Molecule: ribosomal RNA, 425 nt
Filed under: uncultured bacterium
Lineage: Bacteria
Description: bacterial SSU rRNA
Rfam family: Bacterial small subunit ribosomal RNA
Source: RNAcentral
GUGGGGAAUAUUGGACAAUGGGCGCAAGCCUGAUCCAGCCAUGCCGCGUGAGUGAUGAAGGCCUUAGGGUUGUAAAGCUCUUUCAGUGGGGACGAUAAUGACGGUACCCACAGAAGAAGCCCCGGCUAACCUCGUGCCAGCAGCCGCGGUAAUACGAAGGGGGCUAGCGUUGUUCGGAUUUACUGGGCGUAAAGCGCACGUAGGCGGAUCGUUAAGUCGGGGGUGAAAUCCUGGAGCUCAACUCCAGAACUGCCUUCGAUACUGGCGAUCUUGAGUCCGGAAGAGGUGAGUGGAACUCCUAGUGUAGAGGUGGAAUUCGUAGAUAUUAGGAAGAACACCAGUGGCGAAGGCGGCUCACUGGUCCGGUACUGACGCUGAGGUGCGAAAGCGUGGGGAGCAAACAGGAUUAGAAACCCUAGUAGUCC